RNAcentral lists this ribosomal RNA (541 nucleotides) under Sticta sp. RL-2013p. RNAcentral's name for it is "eukaryotic LSU rRNA". It matches the Rfam family "Eukaryotic large subunit ribosomal RNA", at positions 92 to 646 of the family's 3401-position model. The record is from RNAcentral. Lineage: Eukaryota; Fungi; Ascomycota; Lecanoromycetes; Peltigerales; Lobariaceae.
AGUGAAGCGGCAACAGCUCAAAUUUGAAAUCUGGCCUCUUCGAGGUCCGAGUUGUAAUUUGUAGAGGGUGUUUCGGGCGCGAUGCCGGUCUAAGUUCCUUGGGACAGGACGUCGCAGAGGGUGAGAAUCCCGUACGCGACCGGCGAUCAAGCCUAUGUGAAGCCCCUUCGACGAGUCGAGUUGUUUGGGAAUGCAGCUCAAAAUGGGUGGUAAAUUUCAUCUAAAGCUAAAUAUUGGCCAGAGACCGAUAGCGGACAAGUAGAGUGAUCGAAAGAUGAAAAGCACUUUGGAAAGAGAGUCAAACAGCACGUGAAAUUGUUGAAAGGGAAGCGCUUGCAAUCAGACCGGUCCGGAGGCGAUCAGCCGCUGCUCGUUCAGCGGUGCACUCGCCUGCGAUCCGGCCAGCAUCGGUCUGGGCGGUGGGACAAAAGUCCCGGGAAUGUAGCUUCCUUUGGGGAGUCUUAUAGCCCGGGUCGCAAUGCCGCCUGCCCGGACCGAGGACCGCGCUUCGGCUAGGAUGCUGGCGUAAUGGUUGCAAGCG